UGGGGAAUAUUUCACAAUGGGCGCAAGCCUGAUGCAGCAACGCCGCGUGAACGAUGAAUGUCUUCGGAUCGCAAAGUUCUUUUGCAGGGGAAGAUAAUGACGGUACCAUAAGAAAAAGCCCCGGCUAACUACGUGCCAGCAGCCGCGGUAAUACGUAGGGGGCUAGCGUUGUCCGGAAUCACUGGGGGUAAAGGGUUCGCAGGCGGAAAUGCAAGUCAGGUGUAAAAGGCAGUAGCUUAACUACUGUAAGCAUUUGAAACUGCAUAUCUUGAGAAGAGUAGAGGAAAGUGGAAUUUUUAGAGUAGCGGAGAGAUGCGUAGAUAUUAAAAGGGAUACCGGUGGCGAAAGCGACUAACUGGACGCAUUCUGACGCUGAGGAACGAAAGAGUGGGUAGCAAACAGG
Molecule: ribosomal RNA, 403 nt
Filed under: Verrucomicrobiota bacterium
Lineage: Bacteria; Pseudomonadati; Verrucomicrobiota
Description: Verrucomicrobia bacterium partial 16S ribosomal RNA
Rfam family: Bacterial small subunit ribosomal RNA
Source: RNAcentral